RNAcentral lists this ribosomal RNA (1080 nucleotides) under Salmonella enterica subsp. enterica serovar Paratyphi B var. L(+) tartrate +. RNAcentral describes it as "partial 23S ribosomal RNA". It matches the Rfam family "Bacterial large subunit ribosomal RNA", at positions 711 to 1781 of the family's 2925-position model. Lineage: Bacteria; Pseudomonadati; Pseudomonadota; Gammaproteobacteria; Enterobacterales; Enterobacteriaceae. The record is from RNAcentral.
AGACCCGAAACCCGGUGAUCUAGCCAUGGGCAGGUUGAAGGUUGGGUAACACUAACUGGAGGACCGAACCGACUAAUGUUGAAAAAUUAGCGGAUGACCUGUGGCUGGGGGUGAAAGGCCAAUCAAACCGGGAGAUAGCUGGUUCUCCCCGAAAGCUAUUUAGGUAGCGCCUCGUGAAUUCAUCUCCGGGGGUAGAGCACUGUUUCGGCUAGGGGGCCAUCCCGGCUUACCAACCCGAUGCAAACUGCGAAUACCGGAGAAUGUUAUCACGGGAGACACACGGCGGGUGCUAACGUCCGUCGUGAAGAGGGAAACAACCCAGACCGCCAGCUAAGGUCCCAAAGUCAUGGUUAAGUGGGAAACGAUGUGGGAAGGCCCAGACAGCCAGGAUGUUGGCUUAGAAGCAGCCAUCAUUUAAAGAAAGCGUAAUAGCUCACUGGUCGAGUCGGCCUGCGCGGAAGAUGUAACGGGGCUAAACCAUGCACCGAAGCUGCGGCAGCGACGCUUAUGCGUUGUUGGGUAGGGGAGCGUUCUGUAAGCCUGUGAAGGUGGCCUGUGAGGGUUGCUGGAGGUAUCAGAAGUGCGAAUGCUGACAUAAGUAACGAUAAAGCGGGUGAAAAGCCCGCUCGCCGGAAGACCAAGGGUUCCUGUCCAACGUUAAUCGGGGCAGGGUGAGUCGACCCCUAAGGCGAGGCCGAAAGGCGUAGUCGAUGGGAAACAGGUUAAUAUUCCUGUACUUGGUGUUACUGCGAAGGGGGGACGGAGAAGGCUAUGUUGGCCGGGCGACGGUUGUCCCGGUUUAAGCGUGUAGGUGUGUGUUCCAGGUAAAUCCGGUUCACUUUAACACUGAGGCGUGAUGACGAGGCACUACGGUGCUGAAGCAACAAAUGCCCUGCUUCCAGGAAAAGCCUCUAAGCAUCAGGUAACAUCAAAUCGUACCCCAAACCGACACAGGUGGUCAGGUAGAGAAUACCAAGGCGCUUGAGAGAACUCGGGUGAAGGAACUAGGCAAAAUGGUGCCGUAACUUCGGGAGAAGGCACGCUGACACGUAGGUGAAGUGAUUUACUCAUGGAGCUGAA